This 2006-nucleotide long non-coding RNA is filed under the name Takifugu rubripes (torafugu). Its description in RNAcentral is "lncRNA (ENSTRUG00000029064.1)". The record is from RNAcentral. Lineage: Eukaryota; Metazoa; Chordata; Actinopteri; Tetraodontiformes; Tetraodontidae.
AUAAACCUUCUGCAAUGGACCCAUUGAUGCCAUCGCUGUGUAUACACAAGUGUGCCACAGGAUAGGCAGCAGUGCAUUCUGAAGGCCUCAAAAGAGGUACGGGACCAGUCAAAACCACAUCAGCCCACUGAUGAGUGGACUGAGAUGUCUGUGAUGAAGCUAAAAGGAGAUGCCGCCUGGUCACCCAAAAUCCCUCAGAGGUGCAGUGGAUGGGUCAGCUAAUUCUGACUUUUGGCAAGUACCGAGGCAAAAGCUUCCAGUGGCUGGUGAAAAACGAUGUUGGCUACAUUAAAUAGUAAGUGUGCUGUUCUAAACAAAAUUAAUCUUUGCUCAUUCUUGUCCCGUUAAAUGAUUCAUAAUUAAAUGUGAUAUGUCAGUAUCGUCGAUCGCCACGUUAAAGAGAAGCAGUGGCCAGAGAGAGGACCGAUAAAUGAUGAGUGGGUUAAGGAUUACCUCCAGUUCUUCUCGCAAGUCUCCUGCCACCUGGAGAUGUGUGUGGACAGAGCCAUUUAUGGACAGGGUGAAAUCUGCAGCAGAAAAGGCCAAAAGACCUGGAAAACAGAGCCGGCCAGCUUCUGCACACAAGUCCGUCAGAUGCACCACUCCAUCGUCAACGGCAAGAUCGCCGUCUGAACCACACAUCGAGGAAAAACAUGGAAAGAUGAAGGGGAGGAAGGUCCUGAAGGAUGACAGGAUGUGGUUUCAUCCUGUGGUUUCAGACAUACUGUCAGCAAAAAGUAAUCAUCUCCAGGACUUGAAGGCCAGACUUUUGACACUUUUGUAGACUUUCAAAGGGCUGUGGACAUUCUUUUGGGACCUCAUUUCCAGGUGUAAGCAAAGAAAAUUGGAGUGUUUUAUCGACUGCACUUGACAAUAAAUGCUUCUUUGUACUUGACAAUAAGUUAAAAAAAAAAAAAAAAAGGCUGUCAACAGGUCAUGGCCACAGCUUUUUCAUUUUUAUUUUGUAGCACUCAUUGGGAAAUUAAAUGUUCUUGCUCUUCAGUGUCACCUGGGUGGGGCCACCUCUCUUUAAUCACAGUCAGUGCUUUAUUCAUUUCCAAACAUAGGACGCCUCCAUUUCCAAGACACCUGGCUUGUCUUCUGGGCCACCACAAUGUAGGAACCUGCAAGGGACCAAUGACAGCAUCAUCACUAUUUUUCUUGCACGACAAAUGUUAUUCCUCAACUACAGGCCCGGGCAUGGUAUUCUUUACCAUCUUUUCAAUUUCUGACUGCACCUAAUGGCACAAAUAACAUCACUUGUGUGUUCAAAUACUACUACACCCACAGACAGUCAUCGCUUUGCCCUGCAUUCAUUUUUUCCAUCCAGCAGAUGGCUCAAUAGCUUGAUGGCUUACAUUUCAAUGAGAGAUUUUGACAGAUAUUUAUAACCAUUUGGGCAGUUUGGCACUUUAUGUUUGCAGUUCCCUGUCAAAAAACUUGACUUUGCCACAAUUUGUCUACACUUGUCUACACUUUGUUUUGCACGUCGUACGGGUCGAGGGCCCUUAGCGAAGCACCUGCCAGACGUGCAAAAACAUUCCUCAAUGUGGCCAUGUGAGACGUCCAGUCAUCAGUACACAAAAAUGUCAUCCAAAUAGGCUUUGCAGUGUGGAACAUCACCCAGGACCUUGUUCACGAGCCUCUGAAAGGUAGCAGGGGCGUUGCAGAGACCAGAAGGCAUAACAGUAUACUGAAGGGAGCUGUUUUGUGUCACAAAUGCCGAGAUCUCAGAUGCCAGAGGGUCAAUGGAACUUGCCAGUAGACUUUCAGUAAAUCCAGUUUGUUGACGUACCGAGCUGGACCAAUCUCAUCAAUGCAGUCAUCAAUAAGUGGCAAGGGAUGUGCAUCAGGGACUGUGACGGAGUUCACCUUUCGGAAGUCUGUGCAGAACCUUGGGCAGCUAUUCGACUUCUUAUCCAGCAAACAAGGUGAACUCCACGGACUGGAACUGGACACAGCGGACCCUUCUUCCUCAUGCACUCCCUCUUUAGAGGACUUACUCG